UCCCCCAUCCCCUCCAGGUGACUGCAGCGCUGGCUCAAGUUUGAGAACCACUGCUCUGCAGUCCAGAACAUCUUCCUGGGAAUUAGCUGGGAUGCAAAACCAUGUUGCCAUCUGAUCUCAUCACACUUCUGCCAAGAGGUGAAAUCUAAGAGUCCACGUUCUUGAUGCCUGACAUCUUCUUCAGGUCACUUACCUGAGAACACCUGAGGACACUGAGGAUAAAGACUGAGAAACACCCAAGUGCACUGGACAGUCAUCGCUUCUGUCCCUGUGCAGUGCAAGCCUGGGGCAGGGAGACCACGAUGUGGGCUGCAGAGCGUGGAAGAAACCCUUGAGGGCAAUUGGACGUGAACUAAGCCCUGACAGACCCCGGAUAUUUUUUCCCUGACUCAACUAUGCUUCCCUCAGCAACUCAGAGAAGUGUUGGCCAACCGAACACAAAGAAGCAAAGAAAGUAGAAAAGCGAUGUAAUCUGAAGCCACAUUGAGUCUGAGUCCAAGAAAUUGUGAUGGAAAAACACUAAGGCUCCUCACCUUGACUGUGACAAAGCUUGGGAGGGUGAAAUGGGAUGUGUGAACUUUCUGAAAACUGUCGACACUAUACAGUUCUUUGGCAAAAGGGCUGCUUGUAGUUAGCAACUUACUCCCGGAG
RNAcentral lists this long non-coding RNA (651 nucleotides) under Lynx canadensis (Canada lynx). RNAcentral's name for it is "lncRNA (ENSLCNG00005000906.1)". The record is from RNAcentral. Lineage: Eukaryota; Metazoa; Chordata; Mammalia; Carnivora; Felidae.